This 497-nucleotide ribosomal RNA is filed under the name uncultured bacterium. RNAcentral's name for it is "partial 16S ribosomal RNA". It matches the Rfam family "Bacterial small subunit ribosomal RNA", at positions 28 to 507 of the family's 1533-position model. The record is from RNAcentral.
GAUGGACGCUGGCGGCGUGCCUAAUACAUGCAAGUCGAGCGAACGGACGAGAAGCUUGCUUCUCUGAUGUUAGCGGCGGACGGGUGAGUAACACGUGGAUAACCUACCUAUAAGACUGGGAUAACUUCGGGAAACCGGAGCUAAUACCGGAUAAUAUUUUGAACCGCAUGGUUCAAAAGUGAAAGACGGUCUUGCUGUCAUUUAUAGAUGGAUCCGCGCUGCAUUAGCUAGUUGGUAAGGUAACGGCUUACCAAGGCAACGAUGCAUAGCCGACCUGAGAGGGUGAUCGGCCACACUGGAACUGAGACACGGUCCAGACUCCUACGGGAGGCAGCAGUAGGGAAUCUUCCGCAAUGGGCGAAAGCCUGACGGAGCAACGCCGCGUGAGUGAUGAAGGUCUUCGGAUCGUAAAACUCUGUUAUUAGGGAAGAACAUAUGUGUAAGUAACUGUGCACAUCUUGACGGUACCUAAUCAGAAAGCCACGGCUAACUACGUG